UGAUGAUUAACUUUCAAAACUACAAGAUGAACCCCUUCCACUUCUAGAAUGUGAAGAAUGCUGCCAUAUUACCGGCCCAUAUGAUCAUCAUGACAACUGUCUACCGUUGUCUACCCCGAUACAAGGAAAAUUACAAAUGUGUUGCUAAGCUUAAUAUUAGAUGACUAGAAGCAGUUAGAAGAAUAAAGAACGGUUCCUGAGUUUUACAAUGACCGACUAACUUUUGAUGACUGAUGAAGAUGACUAUGCCAGCAAAAGAUGGAUAACAGAUGUACUUCGAAUAGCAAUAUGACUAAAGUACUACCUUACAUUAUUAAGACUAGAAUAUUGAAUAUAUAACUAAAAUUUAAGUUAUAAAAUAAUAAUGUGGAUUUCAUAUAUAUGUUUAUUUUUAAUUAAAGAUAUACAACUGUUUGCUUUUUAAUCAACCCUCAACUGCAUGCAUUAGAUGAUAUUUGUCAGAGUUUGCACUUCAAGGCAUGU
Molecule: long non-coding RNA, 483 nt
Organism: Leguminivora glycinivorella
Lineage: Eukaryota; Metazoa; Arthropoda; Insecta; Lepidoptera; Tortricidae
Exons: 3
Source: RefSeq, a predicted model, not a curated record